GAUAAGAACGUAGUGAAAUGCGAUACUUGGUGUGAAUUGCAGAAUCCCGUGAACCAUCGAGUCUUUGAACGCAAGUUGCGCCCGAAGCCAUCAGGUUGAGGGCACGUCUGCCUGGGCGUCACAUAUCGUUGCCCAAUGCCUAUUGCAGUGCAAUAGGAAUUUCUAGGGCGAAUGAUGGCUUCCCGUGAGCGUUGUUGCCUCGCGGUUGGUUGAAAAUCGAGUCCUUGGUAGGGUGUGCCAUGGUAGAUGGUGGUCGAGUUAGAACGAUACCGAUCAUGUGCAUGCUCCCCAAAAUAUGGCCUCUAUGACCCACACGCGUCUUUUGACGCUCAUGACGAGACCUCAGGUCAGGCGGGGCUACCCGCUGAAUUUAAGCAUAUCAAUAAGCGGAGGA
Molecule: unclassified non-coding RNA, 394 nt
Filed under: soil metagenome
Description: partial contains 5.8S ribosomal RNA, internal transcribed spacer 2, and large subunit ribosomal RNA
Rfam family: 5.8S ribosomal RNA (bases 4-121)
Source: RNAcentral